UCUUGACAGAUCCCUUCGGGGUGAAGAUAAGAUGGAUUAGCGGCGGACGGGUGAGUAACACGUGAGUAACCUGCCUUAGACAUUGGGAUAGCCUCGGGAAACCGGGAUUAAUACCAAAUGAAAUCAUAGGUGCCCAUGCACUAAUGAUCAAAACUCCGGUGGUCUAAGAUGGACUCGCGUCCCAUUAGCUAGUCGGUGAGGUAACGGCCCACCAAGGCGACGAUGGGUAGCCGGCCUGAGAGGGUGAACGGCCACAUUGGAACUGAGAAACGGUCCAAACUCCUACGGGAGGCAGCAGUGGGGAAUAUUGCACAAUGGAGGGAACUCUGAUACAGCGACGCCGCGUGAACGAUGAAGGCUUUCGAGUCGUAAAGUUCUUUUAUAUGGGAAGAUAAUGACGGUACCAUAAGAAAAAGCCCCGGCUAACUACGUGCCAGCAGCCGCGGUAAUACGUAGGGGGCUAGCGUUGUCCGGAAUCACUGGGCGUAAAGGGUUCGCAGGCGGAAAUGCAAGUCAGAUGUAAAAGGCAGUAGCUUAACUACUGUAAGCAUUUGAAACUGCAUAUCUUGAGAAGAGUAGAGGUAAGUGGAAUUUUUAGUGUAGCGGUGAAAUGCGUAGAUAUUAAAAAGAAUACCGGUGGCGAAGGCGACUUACUGGGCUCAUUCUGACGCUGAGGAACGAAAGCGUGGGUAGCAAACAGGAUUAGAUACCCUGGUAGUCCACGCUGUAAACGAUGAGUGCUAGGUAUCGGAAUAAUUCGGUGCCGCAGUUAACACAUUAAGCACUCCGCCUGGGGAGUACGUGCGCAAGCAUGAAACUCAAAGGAAUUGACGGGGACCCGCACAAGCAGCGGAGCAUGUGGUUUAAUUCGAAGCAACGCGAAGAACCUUACCAGGGCUUGACAUACUGAGGACCGGUAUAGAGAUAUACCCUCUUCUUCGGAAGCCUCAAUACAGGUGGUGCAUGGUUGUCGUCAGCUCGUGUCGUGAGAUGUUCAGUUAAGUCUGGCAACGAGCGCAACCCCUAUCUUUAGUUACCAGCAUUUCGGAUGGGGACUCUAAAGAGACUGCCGAUGAUAAA
This 1080-nucleotide ribosomal RNA is filed under the name uncultured bacterium. RNAcentral describes it as "bacterial SSU rRNA". It matches the Rfam family "Bacterial small subunit ribosomal RNA", at positions 62 to 1162 of the family's 1533-position model. The record is from RNAcentral.